Non-coding RNA from Paramuricea clavata, 524 nucleotides. Lineage: Eukaryota; Metazoa; Cnidaria; Anthozoa; Malacalcyonacea; Plexauridae. The record is from the annotation of a GenBank genome assembly.
CGCCCCCAUAAGUGAGCUUGACCAACGGACGUGCCGUAAGAAUUCCAUAUACGGACCUGUGAUGCUGUCCCCACGGGAAAUAUGAACGGCACUUAUAGGCGUGAAUUCAUUGGCUCUGGAGUAUAUGCACCGGGAUAGUGAUGUCAUAUUUGUUGAAGAUCAUCACAAACUGACAUAAACACAGGUUUUAAUCUAAUCCCCCAUCGGCAAUGGGGAACUAUAUAGGCUCCUUGGCAAGGGAAAACGUGUCCAUUUUUUUCCAUACGCACGAACAAAUAAAGGCCCUGUCACACUAUUGCGUAUGAGAGAAACGUAUGAGAAGCGUAUGAAAAUUAAUGAAAUAAUUCUCAUACGCACAAAAAUCCUUUGAAAUGCCAGCGUAUGAGUACCGUACAUCUGGCGUACCUCUAGGGUAUUCAGCGUGUGCCUAGAGUAUGCUUAUCGUAUAAAGCAUACGUCCGAAUACGCACAAAAUUUUUGAGCAUGCUUAAAAAAAAUGUUCUGCCUCGCCGUGUGCCAGCGUA